AGAAGGUCCAUGGUUUGUCCUGUGAUCGCCCUCUCAAAGGUCUUCAUGGAGCGUGAAGUCAAAGCAACUGCUCUGAAGUCCUUAAGGCUCCCCGGAGCGCCCUGUCUUUGGUCCCUGGACCAUACAGGAUGUCUUCCUGGCAGAAAGCAAGUGGGAGUUAAGGACUGGAUUUGAACUGGUGAUCCUCCUAUUACAGACACACUGUCCCCCAAGAAAGAAAUGUUGGGGUCCGGAGCCUAUCCAGGAAGCUACAGGUGCAAGGCUGGGAAUAGCUGAGGACAGGGUGCCAACUCAUCACAUGGCUGAGUUUAAACUUGUGCAACGCCCACCCGUAUUCCAAUUACUUGUCCAAAAGAAGGUCACAGGAAAGCCUGGAGCCCGUAGCAGUCAUUAUAGGGCACAAGGUUGGGGUAAACCCUAGAUGGGAUGCCAGGCCGUCACAGGACACGUACAUACAAACAGGCGGUUUUUGAGAUGCUAGCUCGCCAAACCAUGUGU
Long non-coding RNA from Brienomyrus brachyistius, 498 nucleotides. RefSeq lists it as uncharacterized. The record is from RefSeq and is a predicted model, not a curated record. NCBI's taxonomy places the organism in Eukaryota, Metazoa, Chordata, Actinopteri, Osteoglossiformes, Mormyridae. The transcript is spliced from 3 exons.